GACGAGGGAUCCUAGCGUUGUUCGGAAUCAUUGGGCGUAAAGCGUGUGUAGGCUGCCAUUCAAGUCAGUUGUGAAAUCCCCGGGCUCAACCCGGGAAGUGCUUCUGAUACUGUUUGGCUUGAGUACUGGAGAGGAUAGUAGAAUUCCUGGUGUAGUGGUGAAAUACGUAGAUAUCAGGAGGAAUACCGGUGGCGAAGGCGGCUAUCUGGCCAUGUACUGACGCUGAGACACGAAAGCGUGGGGAGCAAACAGG
Molecule: ribosomal RNA, 253 nt
Filed under: uncultured bacterium
Lineage: Bacteria
Description: partial 16S ribosomal RNA
Rfam family: Bacterial small subunit ribosomal RNA
Source: RNAcentral